GUACAUUAGUGCUUGCGCACAACAAUAAUUUCAUUACAUUCGAGUGGGUGUAAAUAUCCUCAACCAGCCAAAGCCAGCAGAGGCCAAUGGUGCACAGGGUAUUGGAUUGAAGUCACCAGCGUGCACUUGCCGGAGCCAGCACUGAAGGCAACAUUCACAAUCAAUAAUGAUCCUUCCGCAGGUUCACCUACGGAAA
This 196-nucleotide unclassified non-coding RNA is filed under the name uncultured fungus. RNAcentral's name for it is "sequence contains ITS1". Lineage: Eukaryota; Fungi. The record is from RNAcentral.